GAUGAACGCUGGCGGCGUGCCUAAUACAUGCAAGUCGAGCGAACGGACGAGAAGCUUGCUUCUCUGAUGUUAGCGGCGGACGGGUGAGUAACAGGUGGAUAACCUACCUAUAAGACUGGGAUAACUUCGGGAAACCGGAGCUAAUACCGGAUGAUAUUUUGAACCGCAUGGUUCAAAAGUGAAAGACGGUCUUGCUGUCACUUAUAGAUGGAUCCGCGCUGCAUUAGCUAGUUGGUAAGGUAAUGGCUUACCAAGGCAACGAUGCAUAGCCGACCUGAGAGGGUGAUCGGCCACACUGGAACUGAGACACGGUCCAGACUCCUACGGGAGGCAGCAGUAGGGAAUCUUCCGCAAUGGGCGAAAGCCUGACGGAGCAACGCCGCGUGAGUGAUGAAGGUCUUCGGAUCGUAAAACUCUGUUAUUAGGGAAGAACAUAUGUGUAAGUAACUGUGCACAUCUUGACGGUACCUAAUCAGAAAGCCACGGCUAACUACGUG
Molecule: ribosomal RNA, 497 nt
Filed under: uncultured bacterium
Lineage: Bacteria
Description: partial 16S ribosomal RNA
Rfam family: Bacterial small subunit ribosomal RNA
Source: RNAcentral